Molecule: long non-coding RNA, 563 nt
Organism: Populus nigra (black poplar)
Lineage: Eukaryota; Viridiplantae; Streptophyta; Magnoliopsida; Malpighiales; Salicaceae
Exons: 2
Source: RefSeq, a predicted model, not a curated record
GCUUCAAACGAAUUUUGACCUUACCUAUUCACCUCUUUCAAGCGCUCUCUCCUCUCCACUAUAUAUAAAUUCACCUCUCCUGCUCUCUCUUCAUUCUGACCCAUAGAAGAAACCCAAAGUGCAACUAAAACCCAAAAAAAAUGUCUAAGCUUACAACCCUCUUCACCGUAGCCCUUCUCCUCAGCUUCGCGCUUACUUGUUCUACUCGCCCCCAGCCGGUCCUAUCCGAUGACUCUCUGGAUGCCAUGGCAGCUGAGUCUGCGGUUGUUGAGAGUUGUGAAGGACUAGGGGAAGAGGAGUGCUUGAUGAGAAGGACCCUCGCUGCUCAUGUGGAUUAUAUAUAUACACAGAAGCACAAACCAUGAGCUAGUUAUCGUGAAAUUGUAAAAUCAAUAAUGAUUCAAGUUAAUUGCAUCUGUUGGUAAUAAUAUAUUAAGAAGUCUAUCCUGCUUCUUGCUUUUGUGUUAUAGCCUCAAGAUUUUACGUUCUUGUAUUUUCUUUACGUUGUGAUCAGAAAAAAUUCAUUGCCAGAAUAAGAAAACAAAUCAAGUUACUUUUUAGCA